RNAcentral lists this ribosomal RNA (276 nucleotides) under uncultured prokaryote. RNAcentral's name for it is "partial 16S ribosomal RNA". It matches the Rfam family "Bacterial small subunit ribosomal RNA", at positions 524 to 799 of the family's 1533-position model. The record is from RNAcentral.
UACGUAGGGGCUAGCGUUAUCCGGAAUUACUGGGCGUAAAGGGUGCGUAGGUGGUUUCUUAAGUCAGAGGUGAAAGGCUACGGCUCAACCGUAGUAAGCCUUUGAAACUGAGAAACUUGAGUGCAGGACAGGAGAGUAGAAUUCCUAGUGUAGCGGUGAAAUGCGUAGAUAUUAGGAGGAAUACCAGUUGCGAAGGCGGCUCUCUGGACUGUAACUGACACUGAGGCACGAAAGCGUAGGGAGCAAACAGGAUUAGAUACCCCUGUAGUCCCUGAG